GAUGAACGCUGGCGGCGUGCCUAAUACAUGCAAGUCGAGCGAACAGAUGAGGAGCUUGCUCCUCUGACGUUAGCGGCGGACGGGUGAGUAACACGUGGAUAACCUACCUAUAAGACUGGGAUAACUUCGGGAAACCGGAGCUAAUACCGGAUAAUAUAUUGAACCGCAUGGUUCAUUAGUGAAAGACGGUUUUGCUGUCACUUAUAGAUGGAUCCGCGCCGCAUUAGCUAGUUGGUAAGGUAACGGCUUACCAAGGCAACGAUGCGUAGCCGACCUGAGAGGGUGAUCAGCCACACUGGAACUGAGACACGGUCCAGACUCCUACGGGAGGCAGCAGUAGGGAAUCUUGCGCAAUGGGCGAAAGCCUGACGCAGCCACGCCGCGUGUGUGAUGAAGGUCUUCGGAUCGUAAAGCUCUGUUAUUAGGGAAGAACAAAUGUGUAAGUAACUAUGCAUGUCUUGACGGUACCUAAUCAGAAAGCAACGGCUAACUACGUG
RNAcentral lists this ribosomal RNA (497 nucleotides) under uncultured bacterium. RNAcentral describes it as "partial 16S ribosomal RNA". It matches the Rfam family "Bacterial small subunit ribosomal RNA", at positions 28 to 507 of the family's 1533-position model. The record is from RNAcentral.